UCCUACGGGACGCAGCAGUGGGGAAUAUUGCACAAUGGGGGAAACCCUGAUGCAGCAACGCCGCGUGAGUGAAGAAGUAUUUCGGUAUGUAAAGCUCUAUCAGCAGGGAAGAGAAUGACGGUACCCGACUAAGAAGCCCCGGCUAACUACGUGCCAGCAGCCGCGGUAAUACGUAGGGAGCGAGCGUUGUCCGGAAUUACUGGGUGUAAAGGGAGCGUAGGCGGGGAUGCAAGUUGGGGGUCAAAACUACCGGCUCAACUGGUAGUCGCACUCAAAACUGCAGCUCUUGAGUGAAGUAGAGGCAG
RNAcentral lists this ribosomal RNA (305 nucleotides) under uncultured bacterium. Its description in RNAcentral is "bacterial SSU rRNA". It matches the Rfam family "Bacterial small subunit ribosomal RNA", at positions 337 to 660 of the family's 1533-position model. The record is from RNAcentral.